Small nuclear RNA from Suncus etruscus (white-toothed pygmy shrew), 163 nucleotides. RefSeq annotates it as U1 spliceosomal RNA. The transcript has a single exon. NCBI's taxonomy places the organism in Eukaryota, Metazoa, Chordata, Mammalia, Eulipotyphla, Soricidae. The record is from RefSeq and is a predicted model, not a curated record.
AUAUUUACCUGGCAGGAGAGAUACCAUGAUCACAAGGGUGUUUUCCCAGGGUCAGGCUUAUCCAUUGCACUCUGUAUGUGCUGACAUCUGCAAUUUCCCCAAAUGUGGGAAACUCGACUGCAUAAUUUGUAGUAGUGGAAGACUGCAUCCAUGCACUCCCCUA